AUGUUUCAAAAAAAAAUAACCGAUAUUAUUCGCCUAUCCUCAACCAACCAUAAGAUUCACAAAAUGGAUAAAAGAUAUCUUCGAUGCACUAAAUGGAGUCCGUCCACGGGAAGGUGUAAUGCCUGACGGAAAAAAUCUUGGAAUAUUAAAAGAGGCUCUAAAUAAAUUAAAUCAGUGGCAAUCAACUAUGAAAAAUUGAGAUGUUUCGGCGGUCGAAUUUCUGACAAUGAAUACUGCAAGUGGCUUACGUGUAACCAGCUGCUCCACCCUUGCUCUGAUUAAUCACUUCUUCAAACAUGGUUUUAAAUAGGUCCUCCGUGCAAAAUUAAACGAGGAUAAACUUGAGCAAAUUUACGGGACAAUAAGGCAGGCGGGAGGCUCCAACGAUCACCCUACAGUGAUGAAUUUCUUAUAGCUGUAUAAACUGUUGUCAAUUUAUAAAUUAAUAAAGCCACCAAAACGAAGGAAUUGUACAAUAAUAGAGGACCAGUCACUCACAAGUAGAUAUACUCACGAAAAUUUCAAAAUGAUUGUUAAAAAAUCAUCAAGCAAGUCAUUUAAGAGAGCUCAUGUGGAUAGACUCGUGGAAGAACUGAAAACCAUGCUACCCAGAGAAAUGAAUGAAGAUGAACUGGAAAAUAUUUUUACUAACAUAUUGAAAACGUA
Molecule: long non-coding RNA, 666 nt
Organism: Neodiprion fabricii
Lineage: Eukaryota; Metazoa; Arthropoda; Insecta; Hymenoptera; Diprionidae
Exons: 3
Source: RefSeq, a predicted model, not a curated record